RNAcentral lists this ribosomal RNA (429 nucleotides) under uncultured bacterium. RNAcentral's name for it is "bacterial SSU rRNA". It matches the Rfam family "Bacterial small subunit ribosomal RNA", at positions 917 to 1344 of the family's 1533-position model. The record is from RNAcentral.
GGGCCCGCACAAGCGGUGGAGCAUGUGGUUUAAUUCGAAGAUACGCGCAGAACCUUACCAACACUUGACAUGUUCGUCGCGACUUUGAGAGAUCAAAGUUUUCGGUUCGGCCGGACGAAACACAGGUGCUGCAUGGCUGUCGUCAGCUCGUGUCGUGAGAUGUUGGGUUAAGUCCCGCAACGAGCGCAACCCUCACUUUUAGUUGCCAUCAUUAAGUUGGGCACUCUGAAAGAACUGCCAGUGAUAAGCUGGAGGAAGGUGGGGAUGACGUCAAGUCCUCAUGGCCCUUACGUGUUGGGCUACACACGUGCUACAAUGGUAUCUACAACAGGAAGCGAGACUGCGAGGUUAAGCAAAUCCUAAAAAGAUACCUCAGUUCGGAUUGCACUCUGCAACUCGAGUGCAUGAAGCUGGAAUUACUAGUAAUCG